GAUUGAACGCUGGCGGCAUGCCUUACACAUGCAAGUCGAACGGUAACGGGCCUUCGGGUGCCGACGAGUGGCGAACGGGUGGGUAAUACAUCGGAACGUGCCCGAUCGUGGGGGAUAACGAGGCGAAAGCGUUGCUAAUACCGCAUACGAUCUACGGAUGAAAGCAGGGGACCGCAAGGCCUUGCGCGGACGGAGCGGCCGAUGGCAGAUUAGGUAGUUGGUGGGAUAAAGGCUUACCAAGCCGACGAUCUGUAGCUGGUCUGAGAGGAUGAUCAGCCACACUGGGACUGAGACACGGCCCAGACUCCUACGGGAGGCAGCAGUGGGGAAUUUUGGACAAUGGGCGCAAGCCUGAUCCAGCCAUGCCGCGUGCAGGAUGAAGGCCUUCGGGUUGUAAACUGCUUUUGUACGGAACGAAAAGCCUUCUUUUAAUACAGGAGGGUCAUGACGGUACCGUAAGAAUAAGCACCGGCUAACUACGUG
RNAcentral lists this ribosomal RNA (483 nucleotides) under uncultured bacterium. RNAcentral's name for it is "partial 16S ribosomal RNA". It matches the Rfam family "Bacterial small subunit ribosomal RNA", at positions 27 to 507 of the family's 1533-position model. The record is from RNAcentral.